UACGGAGGGGGCUAGCGUUGUUCGGAAUUACUGGGCGUAAAGCGCGCGUAGGCGGACCUGCAAGUCGGGGGUGAAAGCCCGAGGCUCAACCUCGGAACUGCCUUCGAUACUGCGGGUCUCGAGUCCGGGAGAGGUGAGUGGAACUGCGAGUGUAGAGGUGAAAUUCGUAGAUAUUCGCAAGAACACCAGUGGCGAAGGCGGCUCACUGGCCCGUAACUGACGCUGAGGCACGAAAGCGUGGGGAGCAAACAGG
RNAcentral lists this ribosomal RNA (253 nucleotides) under uncultured bacterium. RNAcentral describes it as "partial 16S ribosomal RNA". It matches the Rfam family "Bacterial small subunit ribosomal RNA", at positions 524 to 776 of the family's 1533-position model. The record is from RNAcentral.